UACACGUCCCGGCAUGCAACGCGGCCGGAGCGGAGGAGGAGCCGGCAGUGGGACGCGCGAGGUCUAAGGGCAAGCGGGAAAUGGCGGGCGGGGACUGAGUGGGGCGUGCAGAAAAGUUUCAUGACUCAGCCUAUAACCCUUCUGGACACCUAUACACACUGGCAACAGUAAGUCACCUGGCUGAAAUUGUCGUGUACGGACAUCCCAAGCUA
RNAcentral lists this long non-coding RNA (212 nucleotides) under Camelus dromedarius (Arabian camel). RNAcentral's name for it is "lncRNA (ENSCDRG00005018713.1)". Lineage: Eukaryota; Metazoa; Chordata; Mammalia; Artiodactyla; Camelidae. The record is from RNAcentral.